This 497-nucleotide ribosomal RNA is filed under the name uncultured bacterium. RNAcentral's name for it is "partial 16S ribosomal RNA". It matches the Rfam family "Bacterial small subunit ribosomal RNA", at positions 28 to 507 of the family's 1533-position model. The record is from RNAcentral.
GAUGAACGCUGGCGGCGUGCCUAAUACAUGCAAGUCGAGCGAACAGAUGAGGAGCUUGCUCCUCUGACGUUAGCGGCGGACGGGUGAGUAACACGUGGAUAACCUACCUAUAAGACUGGGAUAACUUCGGGAAACCGGAGCUAAUACCGGAUAAUAUAUUGAACCGCAUGGUUCAAUAGUGAAAGACGGUUUUGCUGUCACUUAUAGAUGGAUCCGCGCCGCAUUAGCUAGUUGGUAAGGUAACGGCUUACCAAGGCAACGAUGCGUAGCCGACCUGAGAGGGUGAUCGGCCACACUGGAACUGAGACACGGUCCAGACUCCUACGGGAGGCAGCAGUAGGGAAUCUUCCGCAAUGGGCGAAAGCUUGACGGAGCAACGCCGCGUGAGUGAUGAAGGUCUUCGGAACGUAAAACUCUGUUAUUAGGGAAGAACAAAUGUGUAAGUAACUAUGCACGUCUUGACGGUACCUAAUCAGAAAGCCACGGCUAACUACGUG